CGAGUCGUGCGGGCGGUCGCGUCGGAAUCCGCGAGGAUUCCGCCGAGGAAAGUCCGGGCUCCGCAGGGCAGGGUGGUAGGUAACGCCUACCUGGGGCGACCCACGGGAAAGUGCCACAGAAAGCAGACCGCCGGGGCCGCGAGGCACCCGGUAAGGGUGAAACGGUGGUGUAAGAGACCACCAGCGGCCAGGGUGACCUGGCCGGCUCGGUAAACCCCACCUGGAGCAAGGUCAAGAUGGGGCCGCGUCCCGUACGGGGCGGUGGCUCUGCGCGGAUGUUCGAGGGCGGCCCGCCCGAGUCCGCGGGUAGACCGCUGGAGGUCGCCGGCGACGGCGAUCGUAGAUGGAUGGCCGCCUCCGGGCGGACCGCGAGGUCCGCCCGGAACAGAAUCCGGCUUACAGCACGGCUCGUCUG
RNAcentral lists this RNase P RNA (415 nucleotides) under Streptomyces armeniacus. Its description in RNAcentral is "Bacterial RNase P class A". It matches the Rfam family "Bacterial RNase P class A". From Rfam's summary of the family: Ribonuclease P (RNase P) is a ubiquitous endoribonuclease, found in archaea, bacteria and eukarya as well as chloroplasts and mitochondria. Its best characterised activity is the generation of mature 5'-ends of tRNAs by cleaving the 5'-leader elements of precursor-tRNAs. Lineage: Bacteria; Bacillati; Actinomycetota; Actinomycetes; Kitasatosporales; Streptomycetaceae. The record is from Rfam by way of RNAcentral.